UUUUUAAAAGUGAUUUACAUGAGUAACUUGUAGUUAUAUAACUUGUAAUUUUAUAUACAGGUUGAAUACAGAGGCGAUGAAGAAACAGAAAAACAAGAAAUCCCCAAACAAGGCGAUGAAGAAAUGGAAGGGGAAGAAGGAAAAGUAGAGGAAGAAGUUAAAUAAGAGGUAGAAGAAAAGGUAUGUGUUUUUACAAGGGAUUUUAAAAGCUUAUAAAUCGUGUUUUAAAGAUUUUUAGCCGUUUUUAAAAGAUCGGCAGUGUUAGAUAUGUAUUUACAAGGGAUUUUAAAGACUUCUUAAUGGGGUUUUAAAGAUUUAAAGUCGUUAAUAAUGAUUUUACAAGAAUUUUUAAAAGGGCUUUAAAAACGUUAAUAAUGAUUUUACAAUGAUUUUUAAAACGAUUAGUACCUGAGCAGUAGGGUCAGAAUGAGAAACAAAAGGAUUUGAAGUAGUCUCAGCCUGUAAUAAGCACAAUCACUGACUUAAUAAUGAUUUUACAAGGAUUUUUAAAAUUAUAACACAAGAAGGUUAUUGAAAAACCUGCUCAACUGUCACAGAAAUUUGCUCUACAGUCAAGCAUAACUGAAGCAAUCGUUUUAUAAGCAUAGAAU
This 611-nucleotide small RNA is filed under the name Arabidopsis thaliana (thale cress). RNAcentral describes it as "ATSL161480". The record is from RNAcentral. Lineage: Eukaryota; Viridiplantae; Streptophyta; Magnoliopsida; Brassicales; Brassicaceae.